UCGCUCUUCAACGAGGAAUCCCUAGUAAGCACAAGUCAUCAGCUUGUGCUGAUUACGUCCCUGCCCUUUGUACACACCGCCCGUCGCUACUACCGAUUGAAUGGCUUAGUGGGGCCUUCGGAUUGAGAUUUGGAGGCUGGCAAAAACUCGGAUUUUAAGAAGUGGUCAAAUUGGUAUUUAAGGAAGAAAAGCCUAACAGUUUCGUAAGUAACUGCGGAAGGAUCUUACCAUUUACGAACUGAUUUUUGGGUCAUGGUUCCGAAAUUGUAUUUAAAAACCACUCUUAU
Molecule: ribosomal RNA, 287 nt
Filed under: uncultured Rhizophagus
Lineage: Eukaryota; Fungi; Glomeromycota; Glomeromycetes; Glomerales; Glomeraceae
Description: partial 18S ribosomal RNA
Rfam family: Eukaryotic small subunit ribosomal RNA (bases 1-228)
Source: RNAcentral